Molecule: transfer RNA, 87 nt
Filed under: Gemmatimonadota bacterium
Lineage: Bacteria; Pseudomonadati; Gemmatimonadota
Description: Gemmatimonadetes bacterium tRNA-Thr
Rfam family: tRNA
About the family: Transfer RNA (tRNA) molecules are approximately 80 nucleotides in length. Their secondary structure includes four short double-helical elements and three loops (D, anti-codon, and T loops).
Source: RNAcentral
GCUGGCGUGGCGAAACUGGUAAACGCAGAGACCUGGUAAGUCUCUGGGCGGAAGCCCUUGCGGGUUCGAAUCCCGCCGCCAGCACCG